RNAcentral lists this unclassified non-coding RNA (266 nucleotides) under Hevea brasiliensis (rubber tree). The record is from RNAcentral. Lineage: Eukaryota; Viridiplantae; Streptophyta; Magnoliopsida; Malpighiales; Euphorbiaceae.
AUUCGGCCACACGCUUGAUAAACCACACACCAACAACAACAUCCAAAGGAACAGUAUUGGAGUAGAGGAUCACAGCAACCUUGACACAUGGGGUUGUGGAGGUCAAAACAAAGCACCGAAAGGUAAAGGGGGAAGAGCAGAUCCUUCACUAAGGAAAAGAGAGGACUGCUACAAGGGACCCAAGAGGCAACGUCCCAAGCAAAAACUAAAAAUAUGGACAAAAUCAAAUAAAGCAGGAGAGUAGAGGAUCACAACCUUGACACAUC